AACGGGUGAGUAUCACGUGAGUAACCUUCCCUUAACUCUGGGAUAAGCCCGGGAAACUGGGUCUAAUACCGGAUACGACCAGUCCUCGCAUGGGGUGCUGGUGGAAAGAUUUAUCGGUUUUGGAUGGACUCGCGGCCUAUCAGCUUGUUGGUGAGGUAAAGGCUCACCAAGGCGAUGACGGGUAGCCGGCCUGAGAGGGUGACCGGCCACACUGGGACUGAGACACGGCCCAGACUCCUACGGGAGGCAGCAGUGGGGAAUAUUGCACAAUGGGCGAAAGCCUGAUGCAGCGACGCCGCGUGCGGGAUGACGGCCUUCGGGUUGUAAACCGCUUUCAGCAGGGAAGAAGCGAAAGUGACGGUACCUGCAGAAGAAGCGCCGGCUAACUACGUGCCAGCAGCCGCGGUAAUACGUAGGGCGCGAGCGUUAUCCGGAAUUAUUGGGCGUAAAGAGCUCGUAGGCGGUUUGUCACGUCUGCUGUGAAAGCCCGGGGCUCAACCCCGGGUGUGCAGUGGGUACGGGCAGACUAGAGUGCAGUAGGGGAGACUGGAAUUCCUGGUGUAGCGGUGAAAUGCGCAGAUAUCAGGAGGAACACCGAUGGCGAAGGCAGGUCUCUGGGCUGUUACUGACGCUGAGGAGCGAAAGCAUGGGGAGCGAACAGGAUUAGAUACCCUGGUAGUCCAUGCCGUAAACGUUGGGCACUAGGUGUGGGGAACAUUCCACGUUUUCCGCGCCGUAGCUAACGCAUUA
Molecule: ribosomal RNA, 750 nt
Filed under: Nesterenkonia halotolerans
Lineage: Bacteria; Bacillati; Actinomycetota; Actinomycetes; Micrococcales; Micrococcaceae
Description: bacterial SSU rRNA
Rfam family: Bacterial small subunit ribosomal RNA
Source: RNAcentral